This 74-nucleotide transfer RNA is filed under the name Alloprevotella sp. RNAcentral's name for it is "tRNA-Cys". It matches the Rfam family "tRNA". Rfam says of the family: Transfer RNA (tRNA) molecules are approximately 80 nucleotides in length. Their secondary structure includes four short double-helical elements and three loops (D, anti-codon, and T loops). The record is from RNAcentral. Lineage: Bacteria; Pseudomonadati; Bacteroidota; Bacteroidia; Bacteroidales; Prevotellaceae.
GGUACCUUGACCGAGUGGUUAGGUGGCGGUCUGCAAAACCGUAUACAGCAGUUCGAAUCUGCUAGGUACCUCCA